GCCGCGAUAGCUCAGUUGGGAGAUGUCAGAUUGAAGAUCUGAUCGUCCCUGGUUCGAUACCGGGUCACGGCA
This 72-nucleotide transfer RNA is filed under the name Hofstenia miamia. RNAcentral's name for it is "tRNA-Phe for anticodon GAA". It matches the Rfam family "tRNA". Rfam says of the family: Transfer RNA (tRNA) molecules are approximately 80 nucleotides in length. Their secondary structure includes four short double-helical elements and three loops (D, anti-codon, and T loops). The record is from RNAcentral. Lineage: Eukaryota; Metazoa; Xenacoelomorpha; Acoela; Hofsteniidae.